UCUCCGCUGGUGAACCAGCGGAGGGAUCAUUAUCGAGUUUAUAACUCCCAAACCCUAUGUGAACUUACCACUUGUUGCUUCGGCGCGCGCUUCGGCGCCGCCGAGGACACUUAAACUCUUUGUUUUUAUAAGCAUUUCUGAGUGGCCGAAAGGCAAAAUACAAAUGAAUCAAAACUUUCAACAACGGAUCUCUUGGUUCUG
RNAcentral lists this unclassified non-coding RNA (201 nucleotides) under plant metagenome. RNAcentral describes it as "partial contains small subunit ribosomal RNA, internal transcribed spacer 1, and 5.8S ribosomal RNA". The record is from RNAcentral.